ACACAUUCCAGUCCUCUUUCUUCGUGAUCAAUUAGCUAUGCAAUUACGGCUGAAAAAAGUUUAAGCAUUGUUUCCUUCAUCGCGAUCGCGGCCAAAAAUCCACGAUCGCGAUGUACGAGUUGCAUUUUUCUCCUCACAGACACCCUUCGAUAUAAUGGCCAUAACUCUUUGUACAAAUUCCAAAUAAAAAAUGGUUUGAUUUCAAGAUUCAAAGAGAAACAACUUUUAUUUUUGGUUCAUCUCCGAAUUCCUUAUAAAUGGCAAGAUAUAAGCUCCCGAAAUCAAAUCACUGACAGCAGAAAUUGCUUCUUCGCGAUCGCAACCCUACCUCACGCGAUCGUGAUUUAUAUGGUCAAAAAUCCACGUUACUCUUCACGGUCGCGGCCUAAACCUCCGCGAUCACGAUUCAUACCCCUGGCAUCAGAUAUCAGUAGUUCAAAAAGGCCUAAAAGUGGUCCGGCACCAUCCCAAAACUCACCUGAGGUCCGAGGAACCUGUCCAAUCAUUCU
Molecule: long non-coding RNA, 509 nt
Filed under: Nicotiana benthamiana
Lineage: Eukaryota; Viridiplantae; Streptophyta; Magnoliopsida; Solanales; Solanaceae
Description: long non-coding RNA (NBEN_LNC036716)
Source: RNAcentral